GUUGUAUGGUUAAGUGACUAAGCGUACAUGGUGGAUGCCUUGGCAGUCAGAGGCGAUGAAGGACGUACUAACCUGCGAUAAGCUGUGAGAAGUCGGUAAGAGACGCUAUUACUCACAGAUUUCCGAAUGGGGAAACCCACCCAAGAUAACUUGGGUAUCGUU
This 162-nucleotide ribosomal RNA is filed under the name Aeromonas salmonicida. RNAcentral's name for it is "partial 23S ribosomal RNA". It matches the Rfam family "Bacterial large subunit ribosomal RNA", at positions 1 to 155 of the family's 2925-position model. Lineage: Bacteria; Pseudomonadati; Pseudomonadota; Gammaproteobacteria; Aeromonadales; Aeromonadaceae. The record is from RNAcentral.